UACAGAGGGGGCAAGCGUUGUUCGGAAUUACUGGGCGUAAAGGGCGCGUAGGCGGCCUUCUCAGUCAGACGUGAAAUCCCCGGGCUUAACUCGGGAACUGCGUCUGAUACUGGAAGGCUGGAGUUCGGGAGAGGGAUGUGGAAUUCCAGGUGUAGCGGUGAAAUGCGUAGAUAUCUGGAGGAACACCGGUGGCGAAGGCGGCAUCCUGGACCGAAACUGACGCUGAGGCGCGAAAGCCAGGGGAGCAAACGGG
This 253-nucleotide ribosomal RNA is filed under the name uncultured bacterium. RNAcentral's name for it is "partial 16S ribosomal RNA". It matches the Rfam family "Bacterial small subunit ribosomal RNA", at positions 524 to 776 of the family's 1533-position model. The record is from RNAcentral.